This 253-nucleotide ribosomal RNA is filed under the name uncultured bacterium. RNAcentral describes it as "partial 16S ribosomal RNA". It matches the Rfam family "Bacterial small subunit ribosomal RNA", at positions 524 to 776 of the family's 1533-position model. The record is from RNAcentral.
UACGGAGGGUGCAAGCGUUGCUCGGAAUUAUUGGGCGUAAAGGGUAGGUAGGUGGUCUCAUUUGUCAGGGGUGAAAUCCUUGGGCUUAACUCAAGAAGUGCCCCUGAAACGGUGAGACUAGAGUGCUGGAGAGGGUCGUGGAAUUCCCGGUGUAGCGGUGAAAUGCGUAGAGAUCGGGAGGAACACCAGAGGCGAAGGCGGCGACCUGGACAGUGACUGACACUCAACUACGAAAGCGUGGGGAGCAAACAGG